GAUGAACGCUGGCGGCGUGCCUAACACAUGCAAGUCGAACGGUGACGCCGUAGCUUGCUCUUCUGGCUCAGUGGCGAACGCGGGCGUAACACGUGAGCAAUCUGCCCCUGACUUUGGGAUAAGCGCUGGAAACGGCGCCUACUACAGGAUACGAUCUGCCCAAGCAUUUUCAGCAGCUGAAAAUCACACCGGUCAGGGAUGAGCGCGCGGCCUAACAGCUUGUUGGUGAGGUAACGGCUCACCAAGGCGUCGACGGGUAGCCGGCAUGAGAGGGUGACCGGCCACACUGGGACUGAGAGACGGCCCAGACUGCUACGGUAGGCAGCAGUGGGGAAUAUUGCACAAUGGGCGCAAGCCUGAUGCAGCAACGCCGCGUGAGGGAAGACGGCCUUCGGGUUGUAAACCUCUUUUAGCAGAGAAGAAGCGAAAGUGACGGUACCUGCAGAAAAAGCGCCGGCUAACUACGUG
Molecule: ribosomal RNA, 468 nt
Filed under: uncultured bacterium
Lineage: Bacteria
Description: partial 16S ribosomal RNA
Rfam family: Bacterial small subunit ribosomal RNA
Source: RNAcentral